RNAcentral lists this ribosomal RNA (482 nucleotides) under uncultured bacterium. Its description in RNAcentral is "partial 16S ribosomal RNA". It matches the Rfam family "Bacterial small subunit ribosomal RNA", at positions 30 to 507 of the family's 1533-position model. The record is from RNAcentral.
AUUGAACGCUGGCGGCAUGCUUUACACAUGCAAGUCGAACGGUAACAGGUCUUCGGAUGCUGCCGAGUGGCGAACGGGUGAGUAAUACAUCGGAACGUGCCUAGUAGUGGGGGAUAACUACUCGAAAGAGUAGCUAAUACCGCAUGAGAUCUACGGAUGAAAGCAGGGGACCUUCGGGCCUUGUGCUACUAGAGCGGCUGAUGGCAGAUUAGGUAGUUGGUGGGGUAAAGGCUUACCAAGCCUGCGAUCUGUAGCUGGUCUGAGAGGACGACCAGCCACACUGGGACUGAGACACGGCCCAGACUCCUACGGGAGGCAGCAGUGGGGAAUUUUGGACAAUGGGCGAAAGCCUGAUCCAGCAAUGCCGCGUGCAUGAUGAAGGCCCUCGGGUUGUAAACUGCUUUUGUACGGAACGAAAAGCCUGGGGCUAAUAUCCCCGGGUCAUGACGGUACCGUAAGAAUAAGCACCGGCUAACUACGUG